This 466-nucleotide ribosomal RNA is filed under the name uncultured bacterium. Its description in RNAcentral is "partial 16S ribosomal RNA". It matches the Rfam family "Bacterial small subunit ribosomal RNA", at positions 35 to 507 of the family's 1533-position model. The record is from RNAcentral.
GGGGGGGGGGGGCGGGGGGCGGGGGGGGUGGAGGGCGGGCGGGGGGGCCCAGCGGGCUGGGUGGAGUGGUGGCGAACGGGUGAGUAACACGUGAGUAACCUGCCCUUGACUCUGGGAUAAGCCUGGGAAACUGGGUCUAAUACUGGAUAUGACUUCUCAUCGCAUGGUGGGGGGUGGAAAGAUUUAUUGGUCUUGGAUGGACUCGCGGCCUAUCAGCUUGUUGGUGAGGUAAUGGCUCACCAAGGCGACGACGGGUAGCCGGCCUGAGAGGGUGACCGGCCACACUGGGACUGAGACACGGCCCAGACGCCUACGGGAGGCAGCAGUGGGGAAUAUUGCACAAUGGGCGCAAGCCUGAUGCAGCGACGCCGCGUGAGGGAUGACGGCCUUCGGGUUGUAAACCUCUUUCAGUAGGGAAGAAGCGAGAGUGACGGUACCUGCAGAAGAAGCGCCGGUUAACUACGUG